UCAACAAAAGUGUCCAUCAACAGAUGAAUGGAUAAAGAAAUGUGACAUACAUAUAUAAUGGAAUAUUAUUUAGUCGUAAUAAAGAACAAAAUCCUGUUAUUUGUGGCAACAAGAAUGCAAGUGGAGGGCAUUAUGUUAGGUGAAAUAAGCCUGGCAUAGAAACAUAAACACCACAUAACUACGUGUUCUCACUUAUGUAUGGAAGCUAAAAUUUUUAAUCUCGUAGAAGUAGAUAGUAGAGUUUUGGUUACCAUAUCCUGGAAAGAGUAGGAGAAAGAAGAGUAUAAGAAAAAUGUGGUUAAUACAUACAAAAUUACAGGUGGAGAGAAGGAAGAAGUUCUAGUUCUCUACAGCACUGUUGGGUGACUGUAGUUAGCGGGAAUUUAUUGUGUGUUUUCAAAUAACUAAAAUAAAAGAUUUUGAAUAUUCUCACUGCAAAGAAAUAAUACAUGAUUUAGGUAAUGGAUAUGAUAAUGACUGUGACUUGAUCUUUAUGCAUUGCAUAAAUAUAUCAAAAUAUCACUCUGUACCCCAUAACAUGUACAUUUAUUAUAUGUCAAAGUAAAUUUAAAAGAGAAAAAAUGAGGUAAAGGUAAAUGUACAGAAUUUAAUUACUUUUUCUUCUAUAAAACCCAAGAGUCAGUACCAAGAAGAGUCAAUUUAUUAGUUUUCUAAAAUAAAAAAAAUCAAAGUCGCCAAAAAAGAGCAAUAUCCAAGAAAACAUUGAAAAUGAAACACAACAUUUAGUAAGAAUAGAAAACUUGGGCACUGUAUCACCCUGUUCCUAGAUACCGAUUUACUGAUAGCAAUUUAAAUAGAAUUUUAUUCUAUCUAAUUCGUUUAUACUCCCAGAGUUCGAAAUUACAUUUUACCUACAAUAAAUGAGAUAACACUUGCAAAUUAUAUGGUACUCUGCCUAACACACGUUAAUAACUCAAUACAUGUUAGCAAUAAACUUUUAGUAUAGUAGUCAAAGUAUUAAUUUCUCACAUUGCAAAGUUCCUUCAAAGACAUGAAUACAACCUUUCUAAUGACUCCUUGUUCAUCAAGAUACCUCUUCAAAUUAUUCUAUUUAUUUCAUUCAGUAUAUUAUCUGUGUAUACCGAUAUGAUAUUACACUCUUUUUUUUUUUUGAGAUGGAAUCUCAUUCUGUUACUGAUGCUGGAGUGAGGUGGCAUGAUCUCGAUUCACUGCAACCUCCACCUCCCAGGUUCAAGCGAUUCUCCUGUCUCAGCCCCCCAAGUAGCUAGGACUACAGGAGUUCAAGACCAGCCUGGUCAACAUGGCAAAACCAUGUCUCUACUGAAAACACAAAAUUAGCCAGGCAUGGUGGUACAUGCUUGUAGUCCUAACCACUCAGGAGGCUGAGGCAAGAGAAUCACCUGAACCUGGGAGGCAAAGGUUGCUAGGUUGCUGUGAGCCAAGUUCGCACCAUUGCACUCCAGCCUGGGUGAAAAGAGCAAAACUCUGUCUCAAAAAAAAAAAAAAAAAAAAACCACCAAAAACUGCUUUUGAAUGGAGUUGUACAUACAAUCUUUAUGAAAAAAAAUAUCAAGUGCAUAAGUUCAUAAUAGAAAAACCAAUAAUACUCCAGGCACAAGUUAGUACUAAAAAAGUUAUGUUGAAUAUUCUCUAAUACAACAUGCUUUUUCCCUUCAUGAACGAUUUGUGUUUUACUGAGAAGAGUCAUUGUUUAUGGUAGACAUUAGACUACAGAUGAAUAUGUACUUUAAACACUCUUAGUUGCUUUCGUAAUUUUAUAUCUGCUGCUUUAUGCUUCUGUUUAUUUUCAUUCUUUCCAAUGUCCACAUUCUAGUAAAUUUGAAUAUUUUAAUCCAAGUUUAUAUACUAUUUAAUAUUGCUUGUAUAGUUUAGUAUUUUUAAGACUCAAAAAGGUUUACAGAAAGAAGAAAAAGAUCAACAUGUUAUUAAUCAUUUAAAGAUCAUUUUAAAAUCUUUGACCUUUAUAUUUUAAUGAAUAAAAUGUUGGUAGUUAUUAGUAUAAAAUAAUUUAUGUCUUUUGGACUUAGCAUCCAGUAUUUCUUUUUUAAUAAAGAAAAUAAUUAUUCUCUUGCAAUAUACUAUGUUUAUCUGGGUUUUGAAAAAUGAUGUUUCCUAAUAUGAGAAAGCCAUUUACAUUUUUAAAUCUACAAAGGCAAAUGGAAUGGUACUAAAUUAUUUACAUAAUAAUGUUUAGGUGGUGGCCCUUAUAACAUUCUUUCUAUACUUCCUACAGAGUUGGGGAUAUGCAAUCCUAGAAUAUUUCUGGGAGCUAAUCCUUUAGCUUGAUGAAUGAAACAAGACUUUUAAAUAAAAUUAAACUUUCAAAUUAUCCAGGUAAUGGGCCUGUCUUUUAAUUCAAUGGAUAUGGAGCAUAAUGAAUUAUCCCCUGUUCAUUGGGUAAUAAGUUCUCAUUCUUAACUUCUAAUACUCAAAAUGUCCUUUAAUUUUUAAUUUUCAAUAGUCAUAUCAUUAUCCCUAGGUAUUUUAGCUUCUAUCUUAAAUUCUAAAAUAAUUUUGAAACAGGAGAAAGUAUUCUUUAUUACUAUAUGUAUUAAACAUCAUGGUUUUCAAAUUUAACUGCAAAUGUAUCUUUUCAUUGCUUCUUGGUGACGCCCUUCACCCUAUCCAUAUUGUCACUACCAAGUGGUGAUUACUUUUCAGGUUCACAUACUUGUUCUUUAGAAAAAUCUUCCCUGUGCCUUAUAAAGAAUAUGAUUGUUGGCAUUCAAAAGCCAGCGAAGUAUACAUUAUUAGCCUGUUGCCUAACUCAUUUCUUUAAGAAACUACACUAAUUACCCACAUACUUAUGUUUUUAUUUCCUCAUUAUUUCUGGAGAAAACAAAUACUGCUAACAUGAUAUUUGUAAGAGAGAAAAAAGUCUUUUCUUGAAAAGUGCUGUCAUUGUAGUACUAACUUAUAGUAUCAACUUCUUUAUCAACUCCUUAUACACUUUUUAUUCUGAGAGAAAUAAAAAAGCUAAAAGUGAAAUGACUUUUUUUACUCUCCAUAUUAUAAGCACCCAUCUUGGUAAUUUAGGGUCUUUAUAGUUAGGGUAGGUUGUGUCAUACCGAGG
This 3076-nucleotide long non-coding RNA is filed under the name Homo sapiens (human). Its description in RNAcentral is "HSALNT0230116". The record is from RNAcentral. Lineage: Eukaryota; Metazoa; Chordata; Mammalia; Primates; Hominidae.